CGUACACUCCUACGGGAGGCAGCAGUGGGGAAUAUUGGACAAUGGGCGCAAGCCUGAUCCAGCCAUGCCGCGUGAGUGAUGAAGGCCCUAGGGUUGUAAAGCUCUUUCACCGGUGAAGAUAAUGACGGUAACCGGAGAAGAAGCCCCGGCUAACUUCGUGCCAGCAGCCGCGGUAAUACGAAGGGGGCUAGCGUUGUUCGGAUUUACUGGGCGUAAAGCGCACGUAGGCGGACUAUUAAGUCAGGGGUGAAAUCCCGGGGCUCAACCCCGGAACUGCCUUUGAUACUGGUAGUCUUGAGUUCGAGAGAGGUGAGUGGAAUUCCGAGUGUAGAGGUGAAAUUCGUAGAUAUUCGGAGGAACACCAGUGGCGAAGGCGGCUCACUGGCUCGAUACUGACGCUGAGGUGCGAAAGCGUGGGGAGCAAACAGGAUUAGAAACCCUAGUAGUCCCAUG
This 453-nucleotide ribosomal RNA is filed under the name uncultured organism. RNAcentral's name for it is "partial 16S ribosomal RNA". It matches the Rfam family "Bacterial small subunit ribosomal RNA", at positions 330 to 799 of the family's 1533-position model. The record is from RNAcentral.